AGUGAACGCUGGCGGUAGGCCUAACACAUGCAAGUCGAACGGCAGCACAGUAAGAGCUUGCUCUUACGGGUGGCGAGUGGCGGACGGGUGAGGAAUGCAUCGGAAUCUACUUUUUCGUGGGGGAUAACGUAGGGAAACUUACGCUAAUACCGCAUACGACCUACGGGUGAAAGCAGGGGAUCUUCGGACCUUGCGCGAUUGAAUGAGCCGAUGUCGGAUUAGCUAGUUGGCGGGGUAAAGGCCCACCAAGGCGACGAUCCGUAGCUGGUCUGAGAGGAUGAUCAGCCGCACUGGAACUCAGACACGGUCCAGACUCCUACGGGAGGCAGCAGUGGGGAAUAUUGGACAAUGGGCGCAAGCCUGAUCCAGCCAUACCGCGUGGGUGAAGAAGGCCUUCGGGUUGUAAAGCCCUUUUGUUGGGAAAGAAAGGCAGCAGGUUAAUACCCCGCUGUUCUGACGGUACCCAAAGAAUAAGCACCGGCUAACUUCGUG
RNAcentral lists this ribosomal RNA (492 nucleotides) under uncultured bacterium. Its description in RNAcentral is "partial 16S ribosomal RNA". It matches the Rfam family "Bacterial small subunit ribosomal RNA", at positions 29 to 507 of the family's 1533-position model. The record is from RNAcentral.